This 1395-nucleotide ribosomal RNA is filed under the name Enterococcus durans. RNAcentral describes it as "bacterial SSU rRNA". It matches the Rfam family "Bacterial small subunit ribosomal RNA", at positions 68 to 1435 of the family's 1533-position model. Lineage: Bacteria; Bacillati; Bacillota; Bacilli; Lactobacillales; Enterococcaceae. The record is from RNAcentral.
GCUUCUUUUUCCACCGGAGCUUGCUCCACCGGAAAAAGAAGAGUGGCGAACGGGUGAGUAACACGUGGGUAACCUGCCCAUCAGAAGGGGAUAACACUUGGAAACAGGUGCUAAUACCGUAUAACAAUCGAAACCGCAUGGUUUUGAUUUGAAAGGCGCUUUCGGGUGUCGCUGAUGGAUGGACCCGCGGUGCAUUAGCUAGUUGGUGAGGUAACGGCUCACCAAGGCCACGAUGCAUAGCCGACCUGAGAGGGUGAUCGGCCACAUUGGGACUGAGACACGGCCCAAACUCCUACGGGAGGCAGCAGUAGGGAAUCUUCGGCAAUGGACGAAAGUCUGACCGAGCAACGCCGCGUGAGUGAAGAAGGUUUUCGGAUCGUAAAACUCUGUUGUUAGAGAAGAACAAGGAUGAGAGUAACUGUUCAUCCCUUGACGGUAUCUAACCAGAAAGCCACGGCUAACUACGUGCCAGCAGCCGCGGUAAUACGUAGGUGGCAAGCGUUGUCCGGAUUUAUUGGGCGUAAAGCGAGCGCAGGCGGUUUCUUAAGUCUGAUGUGAAAGCCCCCGGCUCAACCGGGGAGGGUCAUUGGAAACUGGGAGACUUGAGUGCAGAAGAGGAGAGUGGAAUUCCAUGUGUAGCGGUGAAAUGCGUAGAUAUAUGGAGGAACACCAGUGGCGAAGGCGGCUCUCUGGUCUGUAACUGACGCUGAGGCUCGAAAGCGUGGGGAGCAAACAGGAUUAGAUACCCUGGUAGUCCACGCCGUAAACGAUGAGUGCUAAGUGUUGGAGGGUUUCCGCCCUUCAGUGCUGCAGCUAACGCAUUAAGCACUCCGCCUGGGGAGUACGACCGCAAGGUUGAAACUCAAAGGAAUUGACGGGGGCCCGCACAAGCGGUGGAGCAUGUGGUUUAAUUCGAAGCAACGCGAAGAACCUUACCAGGUCUUGACAUCCUUUGACCACUCUAGAGAUAGAGCUUCCCCUUCGGGGGCAAAGUGACAGGUGGUGCAUGGUUGUCGUCAGCUCGUGUCGUGAGAUGUUGGGUUAAGUCCCGCAACGAGCGCAACCCUUAUUGUUAGUUGCCAUCAUUUAGUUGGGCACUCUAGCAAGACUGCCGGUGACAAACCGGAGGAAGGUGGGGAUGACGUCAAAUCAUCAUGCCCCUUAUGACCUGGGCUACACACGUGCUACAAUGGGAAGUACAACGAGUCGCGAAGUCGCGAGGCUAAGCUAAUCUCUUAAAGCUUCUCUCAGUUCGGAUUGUAGGCUGCAACUCGCCUACAUGAAGCCGGAAUCGCUAGUAAUCGCGGAUCAGCACGCCGCGGUGAAUACGUUCCCGGGCCUUGUACACACCGCCCGUCACACCACGAGAGUUUGUAACACCCGAAGUCGGUGAGG